CAAGGAAACCAUUAGAUUUCACACCAUUUGUCCACAUAAAGAUCUUAAAAAUGUUCAGUUUUUGAAUUUACAUUUAAUUGCUCUAAAGAGGUGGACUCCAUAUCUGUUACUAUACUCAAAAGUCCUAUUCCAGUUGCUAAAGCAAUUCAUGCUCUAAAUAUGUCUCAAAUGGAUGUGGUCAUGCUUUGCAAUCGCUUUUCUUUCUCUUCUUUGAAUUUGGUGCAAGUGGAGAUUCUAUAUCCCUUUAACGUCAAAUGUAUCUUCCAUAUCACGAAGGACCAAAAAUAAGAUCCGGAGCAACCAACCUAAAGUAAAAGAUCAUACAAGGAUUUCUUCUUCGACACACCAGUUACACUGACAGCAAAACCACAAAAGCACCAACGAACCCACAAACAGAUAGACUUCUGAUGUCACCAUAAGAGAGCAAGAUGAAACAGACAAGCAACAAUACUACAUUAUUUCUUGCGAAAAAACAGGCCAGCUCUUGAAACUGUUUCCAUGGAUUGCAAGCAUCAGUGAGGCAUUCUGGUUAUCUCCCCAUUCAAUGAUCAAUCAACAGUAAAGAACUAUAUGGUCUAAUCUUACGGAAAAUAUAAAAAUUUGAAUCUUUUCUCAAAGUUUAGAAACACUUAUCUGGUGUAACGUGUGAUUUGUGUCAAAAAAAAGACCCUGCACUGUAAUGAUCAUUGAUCUCAUUCAACAAGCAGCAAUGCACAUGCGACAACUACAUUACUGAGAUUCGUAACUGGCAUUUUUAGGGAUACAUUGACCAAAAA
This 776-nucleotide unclassified non-coding RNA is filed under the name Hevea brasiliensis (rubber tree). Lineage: Eukaryota; Viridiplantae; Streptophyta; Magnoliopsida; Malpighiales; Euphorbiaceae. The record is from RNAcentral.